CCAAUAUUGGCUGAGCUGCUCCA
This 23-nucleotide microRNA is filed under the name Pteropus alecto (black flying fox). RNAcentral's name for it is "pal-miR-195-3p". Its record names the gene pal-miR-195-3p. Lineage: Eukaryota; Metazoa; Chordata; Mammalia; Chiroptera; Pteropodidae. The record is from miRBase by way of RNAcentral.